CCUACGGGUGGCAGCAGUGGGGAAUAUUGCGCAAUGGGCGAAAGCCUGACGCAGCGACGCAGCGUGAGGGAUGAAGGUCUUCGGAUCGUAAACCUCCGUCAGCAGGGAAGUACGGUCACUGUGCUAAUCAGCAGUGAAUUGACGGUAUCUGCAAAGGAAGCACCGGCUAACUCCGUGACAGGAGUCGCGGCAAAACGGAGGGUGCGUGCGGUAAUCGGAAUUACUGGGAGUAAAGCGCUCGUAGGCGGUAUGUCAAGUCAAGGGUGAAAUCCCCGCGCUCAACGUGGGAACUGCCUUUGAAACUGGCAAACUGGAGUGUGUGAGAGGAUAGUGGAAUUCCAGGUGUAGGAGUGAAAUCCGUAGAUAUCUGGAGGAACAUCAGUGGCGAAGGCGACUAUCUGGCACAUAACUGACGCUGAGGAGCGAAAGCGUGGGUAGCAAACAGGAUUAGAUACCCUAGUAGUC
Molecule: ribosomal RNA, 465 nt
Filed under: uncultured bacterium
Lineage: Bacteria
Description: partial 16S ribosomal RNA
Rfam family: Bacterial small subunit ribosomal RNA
Source: RNAcentral